UCCUCCAUGAACUUCUGAAUUUCUGAGGUUAGGGUUAUUGGUUUUUGGAGCGGUGCUGGGAAAGAGGAAGAAGACCAAGAAGGCAAGAAAGGAAAGGAAAACGAGAAGCUCGGGUGAUGGAGGUAAUGCUGGAGAAGGGUUCCUGGCGGUGGGAUCAAUUCUAGGAGGAGGGGAGAUCAUAGUGGAGGAUAUGAAGCCCGUGUGAAUGACAUAGAAGAAGAGGAGGAGCUCAAGGCUACGGAGAAAAAGGACAAUAGUAGAGUAUCAGACUUCAUUCUAGCUGAGAUCAACUUUUGUUUUCACGGGACAUGUGAAUCCUCUCUGAUUUGGUUUUGUCUAAAUUUCACAGUGUGAAACCUGGCCAUGUGAAUCCUGAAGUAAAAAAAUGAUGGUUCUGACUUGAUUGAAUGUUAGUAGUGAUGUACAUAAAGAAUCAGCCUGUACCUAGCUGACCAUGCUAAUUCUCUGUAAAUUUGUGUUAAUCAAAAUUUGCACAUACAUACAAGCAAUAUUUCUUCAAUUAAAGAAUAUUCACCUUACGACAAUUUUUGUUUUAUGCUAUUCUUAAGAUAAAAUUUGUAUCGGUGAUGCUAGCUUUAUGUUUUGUGAAUUUACCAGGCAAAUCAAUAAUUGAAAUUCUGCCAAGAAAUCUAGGGGCAGAAGAAGAUGUAUACUUUAGGUGUACGUGAAUCUUUAAGCCGUUCCUUUCUAGGACAAUUUCUAAGACAAUUUUCCUUUUACCCAGAGGUUUACAAGCUUUGGGUGCCUGCGGCCGGCUCGACGGGUGGCAUCAGCAAGCGCCGGCCGGCCUCGGCACUGCUGCGGGUGGUUAUAUAGUCGGCGGAGCACACUAGUGGGCUUCAACGUCAGCGUACGGUGGCGAGCUAAAUCGUGAGUCCUGCUAGGCUUUUUUUGAUUCAGGUUUUGUUACUGUUUUCCAUUCGGGGUUAUAUGGCGAGCAAACCUAACAUUUGCAGUUGUUUGUUUCAGAAAUUCAUGUCCUGACAUCAAAUUUCGAUACGUAAGGUAAAUCCUGCCAACAAAGCUAUGUUAUGGGCUUACUAGUUCUCUUCAUAUCUCUAUCUUCCUUUUGUGAAGUUGUGUAGCGAUCUUCCUUUUACUAUAUGCAAUUCGAUUUUCUUAGGAAUACUCUCCAUUUUCUUAGGAACACGACGUCGUUGCGAUGCCUCCAGAUGCACCAGCAACAGAACAUGAAGAAUGUCAAUGGCAAGGUGAGCGACAUCUAGCAGAUUGCGGACAGAGGCCACGGAAGGUGACCGGAACCCCAACAUGGCCCUGAAAUCAACCACCAAUGGGCAGGCAGAGACGAGGUGUCUCGCUGACUGCAGCGAGGCAUGGCGGAAUGGGCUACUAUUACACGCUCUAAAAGUGAGGUUUAUAGCAAUUAAAAAGGUGAUUUUAUUCCUGAAUCGUGCUUAACAUUUCUUUAGCAAACAAGCACUAGCAGCCCGUUUUCAGAUGUGCUUCUUGUUGGUUCAUGUAGACAUGCCAAUGAAGCCCUGAUAAAGAGUAGAAAAAAUACAGUUUAUUUGUUUAAUUGUUCUCUUGUGUAGACCAAAAUUAGCGAGUAAAGGUAAUUUGAGUUUGCUUCCAAAUUCUUUCUGCGAGUUUAUCCCAGGAAUAAUGUUUUGUUCCUAUUUGAGUUGCAACAUGUGACUUCUGGAGGCUACUCUUCCAUUUGAUGUUGCUGUUCAACAGCUCUCAAAGGCACAGAGCAAAUCAGUCGGGCUUCUCGAAGAAAACAUAUUUUUGAUAAAUGAUGUGCCAUGCAUCCUUCCGCACACCUAAUCGCCUGCUUAGAACAAAUAAAAUUAGUUGCAUUUGCCUGUAUUGGUGGAGUGUGUAUAGAUGGCAGAAUAGCUCCAGCCUUGCUUUCUACUAACCAGUUUCAUUUUCUUUCAGAAUCAAGUUCCUGCUUUUUUCUCCCUGAUGUGAGUGUAUUGGAGUAUAGGGUUCUCCCUGGAGGGUCUUGUAAUCAGUGAGCUAUCUGAGGCAAUGUAUAGAGUUCCAGUUCUGUUUUUCUUGAGAGCCGACCCUGUAAGCUCUGUUUUCUUAGAGUUGAUAUGUAAAUUCUUCAAUGUUUAAAUAAAGUUCAGCCUCAGGCCCUUAAAGAUAACACUACUCCCCAAAUUAAA
This 2156-nucleotide long non-coding RNA is filed under the name Triticum aestivum (bread wheat). RNAcentral describes it as "long non-coding RNA (TAES_LNC007180)". The record is from RNAcentral. Lineage: Eukaryota; Viridiplantae; Streptophyta; Magnoliopsida; Poales; Poaceae.